ACCGCAUUUUUGAUACUUUGAAAUAAUGAUACAUCAAUAAGAGACAUAUAAAUAGACCAUCAAUGCAAUAACAAUGAAGUAAGAACUCAUUGGCACAUCAAUGAAGUGUUUUGGAGUCAUCAAUGCCAUAACAAUGAAGUAGGAACUUAUUUGUAUAUCAAUGAAACGUUUUGGAGUCAUUAAUAGCGCAUGGAUCUUGUUUGAGUAACCGGAUACCUUUUGACAUUCAUUAGUGCA
RNAcentral lists this long non-coding RNA (237 nucleotides) under Capsicum annuum. RNAcentral describes it as "long non-coding RNA (CANN_LNC019673)". Lineage: Eukaryota; Viridiplantae; Streptophyta; Magnoliopsida; Solanales; Solanaceae. The record is from RNAcentral.